AGAUUAAGUUAUUAAGGGCGCACGGUGGAUGCCUUGGCACUAGAAGCCGAUGAAGGACGUUACUAACGACGAUAUGCUUUGGGGAGCUGUAAGUAAGCUUUGAUCCAGAGAUUUCCGAAUGGGGAAACCCAGCAUGAGUUAUGUCAUGUUAUCGAUAUGUGAAUACAUAGCAUAUCAGAAGGCACACCCGGAGAACUGAAACAUCUUAGUACCCGGAGGAAGAGAAAGAAAAUUCGAUUCCCUUAGUAGCGGCGAGCGAAACGGGAAGAGCCCAAACCAACAAGCUUGCUUGUUGGGGUUGUAGGACACUCUAUACGGAGUUACAAAGGACGACAUUAGACGAAUCAUCUGGAAAGAUGAAUCAAAGAAGGUAAUAAUCCUGUAGUCGAAAAUGUUGUCUCUCUUGAGUGGAUCCUGAGUACGACGGAGCACGUGAAAUUCCGUCGGAAUCUGGGAGGACCAUCUCCUAAGGCUAAAUACUCUCUAGUGACCGAUAGUGAACCAGUACCGUGAGGGAAAGGUGAAAAGCACCCCGGAAGGGGAGUGAAAUAGAACCUGAAACCGUGUGCUUACAAGUAGUCAGAGCCCGUUAAUGGGUGAUGGCGUGCCUUUUGUAGAAUGAACCGGCGAGUUACGAUUUGAUGCAAGGUUAAGCAGUAAAUGUGGAGCCGUAGCGAAAGCGAGUCUGAAUAGGGCGUUUAGUAUUUGGUCGUAGACCCGAAACCAGGUGAUCUACCCUUGGUCAGGUUGAAGUUCAGGUAACACUGAAUGGAGGACCGAACCGACUUACGUUGAAAAGUGAGCGGAUGAACUGAGGGUAGCGGAGAAAUUCCAAUCGAACCUGGAGAUAGCUGGUUCUCUCCGAAAUAGCUUUAGGGCUAGCCUCAAGUGAUGAUUAUUGGAGGUAGAGCACUGUUUGGACGAGGGGCCCCUCUCGGGUUACCGAAUUCAGACAAACUCCGAAUGCCAAUUAAUUUAACUUGGGAGUCAGAACAUGGGUGAUAAGGUCCGUGUUCGAAAGGGAAACAGCCCAGACCACCAGCUAAGGUCCCAAAAUAUAUGUUAAGUGGAAAAGGAUGUGGCGUUGCCCAGACAACUAGGAUGUUGGCUUAGAAGCAGCCAUCAUUUAAAGAGUGCGUAAUAGCUCACUAGUCGAGUGACACUGCGCCGAAAAUGUACCGGGGCUAAACAUAUUACCGAAGCUGUGGAUUGUCCUUUGGACAAUGGUAGGAGAGCGUUCUAAGGGCGUUGAAGCAUGAUCGUAAGGACAUGUGGAGCGCUUAGAAGUGAGAAUGCCGGUGUGAGUAGCGAAAGACGGGUGAGAAUCCCGUCCACCGAUUGACUAAGGUUUCCAGAGGAAGGCUCGUCCGCUCUGGGUUAGUCGGGUCCUAAGCUGAGGCCGACAGGCGUAGGCGAUGGAUAACAGGUUGAUAUUCCUGUACCACCUAUAAUCGUUUUAAUCGAUGGGGGGACGCAGUAGGAUAGGCGAAGCGUGCGAUUGGAUUGCACGUCUAAGCAGUAAGGCUGAGUAUUAGGCAAAUCCGGUACUCGUUAAGGCUGAGCUGUGAUGGGGAGAAGACAUUGUGUCUCGAGUCGUUGCCUGACCCGGUUCUGGAAGGUUAGAGGAGUGUAGCUUCCGCGAGCASGAAUCGAGCCCCAGUAACGGCGGCGUACUAUAACGUCUAGUAGSGAAUCUGUCGGGUAGUCCGACCCGCCACGAAAGGSKWAACGAUUGGCACUGUCUCAACGAGAAGACUCGUGGAAAUCAUAGUACCUGUGAAGAUGCAGGUUACCCGSGACAGGACGGAAAGACCCCGUGGAGCUUACUGUAGCCUGAUAUUGAAAUUCGGCACAGCUUGUACAGGAUAGGUAGGAGCCUUUGAAACGUGAGCGCUAGCUUACGUGGAGGCGCUGGUGGGAUACUACCCUAGCUGUGUUGGCUUUCUAACCCGCACCACUUAUCGUGGUGGGAGACAGUGUCAGGCGGGCAGUUUGACUGGGGCGGUCGCCUCCUAAAAGGUAACGGAGGCGCUCAAAGGUUCCCUCAGAAUGGUUGGAAAUCAUUCAUAGAGUGUAAAGGCAUAAGGGAGCUUGACUGCGAGACCUACAAGUCGAGCAGGGUCGAAAGACGGACUUAGUGAUCCGGUGGUUCCGCAUGGAAGGGCCAUCGCUCAACGGAUAAAAGCUACCCCGGGGAUAACAGGCUUAUCUCCCCCAAGAGUUCACAUCGACGGGGAGGUUUGGCACCUCGAUGUCGGCUCAUCGCAUCCUGGGGCUGUAGUCGGUCCCAAGGGUUGGGCUGUUCGCCCAUUAAAGCGGUACGCGAGCUGGGUUCAGAACGUCGUGAGACAGUUCGGUCCCUAUCCGUCGUGGGCGUAGGAAAUUUGAGAGGAGCUGUCCUUAGUACGAGAGGACCGGGAUGGACAUACCUCUGGUGUACCAGUUGUCGUGCCAACGGCAUAGCUGGGUAGCUAUGUGUGGACGGGAUAAGUGCUGAAAGCAUCUAAGCAUGAAGCCCCCCUCAAGAUGAGAUUUCCCAACUUCGGUUAUAAGAUCCCUCAAAGAUGAUGAGGUUAAUAGGUUCGAGGUGGAAGCAUGGUGACAUGUGGAGCUGACGAAUACUAAUCGAUCGAAGACUUAAUCAAAA
This 2647-nucleotide ribosomal RNA is filed under the name Staphylococcus aureus. RNAcentral's name for it is "23S ribosomal RNA". It matches the Rfam family "Bacterial large subunit ribosomal RNA". The record is from RNAcentral. Lineage: Bacteria; Bacillati; Bacillota; Bacilli; Caryophanales; Staphylococcaceae.